UACGAAGGGGGCUAGCGUUGCUCGGAAUCACUGGGCGUAAAGGGCGCGUAGGCGGAUCUUUAAGUCGGGGGUGAAAGCCUGAGGCUCAACCUCAGAAUUGCCUUCGAUACUGGAGAUCUUGAGACCGGAAGAGGUAAGUGGAACUGCGAGUGUAGAGGUGAAAUUCGUAGAUAUUCGCAAGAACACCAGUGGCGAAGGCGGCUUACUGGUCCGGUUCUGACGCUGAGGCGCGAAGGCCAGGGGAGCAAACGGG
RNAcentral lists this ribosomal RNA (253 nucleotides) under uncultured bacterium. RNAcentral's name for it is "partial 16S ribosomal RNA". It matches the Rfam family "Bacterial small subunit ribosomal RNA", at positions 524 to 776 of the family's 1533-position model. The record is from RNAcentral.